GACGAACGCUAGCGGCGUGCUUAACACAUGCAAGUCGAACGGAAAGGCCCUGCUUUUGUGGGGUGCUCGAGUGGCGAACGGGUGAGUAACACGUGAGUAACCUGCCCUUGACUUUGGGAUAACUUCAGGAAACUGGGGCUAAUACCGGAUAGGAGCUCCUGCUGCAUGGUGGGGGUUGGAAAGUUUCGGCGGUUGGGGAUGGACUCGCGGCUUAUCAGCUUGUUGGUGGGGUAGUGGCUUACCAAGGCUUUGACGGGUAGCCGGCCUGAGAGGGUGACCGGCCACAUUGGGACUGAGAUACGGACCAGACUCCUACGGGAGGCAGCAGUGGGGAAUAUUGCACAAUGGGCGGAAGCCUGAUGCAGCAACGCCGCGUGCGGGAUGACGGCCUUCGGGUUGUAAACCGCUUUCGCCUGUGACGAAGCGUGAGUGACGGUAAUGGGUAAAGAAGCACCGGCUAACUACGUG
This 468-nucleotide ribosomal RNA is filed under the name uncultured bacterium. RNAcentral describes it as "partial 16S ribosomal RNA". It matches the Rfam family "Bacterial small subunit ribosomal RNA", at positions 28 to 507 of the family's 1533-position model. The record is from RNAcentral.